GGCGGCGGCGGUGGAUACCCCAGUGGUGGCGGUGGUGGUGGAUACCCCAGUGGUGGCGGUGGUGCCGGACGUCAACCAGGUGGUGCAUUCGGAGGUUCCGGAGGGUUUGGACCUUCAGGUGGCAGCAGACAACCUAGUGCAGGAGGGUUUGGCAGAAUCCCAGGAGGCCAACGUCCUAGCACACCCUCCUUCUCACCACAGUCUGGAUAUCAGUACCCGAAACCCGGAAAAUAAAUGUUAGAAAAACUCGUAGUCCCUUACCUAAAAACCGUUACUACAUGAUCUUCAGUGGUGAUAGAUUUAAAGGUAGAAACAAAACAUGGGAAUAAUUUAAAUCUCUGCAGAUGGUAAUAUCAUAGCAACAGAUAAAAUAAGGGUGAUAUUUAGAUGCUUGUGUAACUUUUAUUCAGACGUAAUGAAAUUUGACUUCAAAAGUAAUCAACUCUUAGUUUAAAAGAAGCUUUAAAUUGCAGCAGAUUUUAUUCGCAUAAUAUGUCAGUCAUGCACUAAUAAAAUCCGUAAUUGCUGAUUUUCGUUGGCUAGUCAUAGGCAACAUUUCCUAAAUAAGGCAUAUUCUUUUAUGCAUUUUUAAACAACGUAUAAUCAAUUUUUGACUAAUUUUAAAUUAAAUAAGUAUCGUCUUUCAGCAAGUCAAUAAAAACGUCUUGAAGUAUUGGAGUUUCUGAUCGAAAUAUUCUAACGGCUACGUGAUGAUGAUGAUGAUGAUAAUUAAGGUAGAAUAGGUGCAGAUAUUUACGAGUUUAUUUUUAACUCAAGUAACGCAUCCAUUAUAUCGCUCACUUUGAAUAUAAUAGUUCAGUAAGUUGACGACUAGGCAAUUCUAACAUGUACAUAUAUAAUAACAGCGUAUUUCUAAACAUCAAUGGUCUAUUUAUUUUUGUAUAUGCUAAGCCAAUUGUAAUAAAAUAAUGUAUAAAAUAGUCUUGUUUUGUAAUAAAGCUCAAUUAUACUUAAA
Molecule: non-coding RNA, 976 nt
Organism: Zootermopsis nevadensis
Lineage: Eukaryota; Metazoa; Arthropoda; Insecta; Blattodea; Termopsidae
Source: RefSeq, a predicted model, not a curated record